Gadus morhua (Atlantic cod) is the source of this 844-nucleotide long non-coding RNA. RefSeq lists it as uncharacterized. The record is from RefSeq and is a predicted model, not a curated record. Lineage: Eukaryota; Metazoa; Chordata; Actinopteri; Gadiformes; Gadidae. The transcript is spliced from 3 exons.
GUGUGACCACGGGAUCCGGAACUCCUACAGCUGUUGGUAAACAGAAAAACACGGGGUCAUGCGCUAUCGUAUUUCAACCGUCUCUGGUCUCAUUUACUUGAAAAAAGGAAGGAACCAAAAGUUCAUUUUAUUUCGCCGCCCACCAUAAGCAAAUAUUCAUCAGAGGGUUUUCACGGCGCGUCAUCAGCGCGUCAUCGAUGGCAGUCGCCAUGUUGGAGGUACUCGGCAAGGUAAAUAAACCGCACGCCAAGGUAAAUAAAGCGCACGCCGCAGUAGAUCCCGAAUAUCUUCGUGGAAAAUGGUAAAUUAUUGCCGUGUUUUUGGCUGUACCAAUCGGUCAGACCGCGAAAAACAUUUGGAGUAUUACAGACUGCCAAAAGUUAUAACUAAUCAAGGAGAACAAUGCCAAAAGUUGUCAGAGGAAAGGAGGCGCUUGUGGUUAGCGAAGCUGAACCAGGAUCUACGUGGCAAAAAUCUGGACAACGUCCGAAUUUGUUCGGCCCAUUUCUUGUCAGGUAAAAGGUCUGACCUUUAUCAAAAGGAUGACCCAGAUUGGGUGCCAUCUGUCGGAAUGACAGGUCAGCAAAGGUCUCCUGAAAAAGCUGGGACAUCAUCACGCUACAGCCGUCGUGGGAAUAGAACCCAGCAGAGACUGAGAGAAGCUGCUGCUGAUGCUGCUGGUGCUGGAGUUGCUGCAGAGACUGAUGAUUCUGAGACUGAUGACCCAGCUUUGUUCACCUGUCUGUUGUGCUCUGGUGAACCUUUGCCCAUCCAUUGUUGAUUUUGACUGAAGAAUAUUUUUAUAUGCACUUUGUCAAUAAAAAGACUAUAUAGCCUAAAAUUA